GGUUCAAACUACCUGCAAUCUUGUAUAACUCCCCAUUAAACAUGGCGAGAGGGUUACAAGAUGAUGUGCAAGAUAAUGAGACCAACCAAAAUCUGAAUGAUGGUGUCAUAAUACUCAAUGAUAUGGACGACAUAUCUAAUUUACUGUCGGGUACAAUAACAUGGACAAACAAGUAUCCAUAUGAUCGCAGAUGCUGAAGCUUCGGAGUAAGUCAUUCUAAAUAGAAUUGUUUUGUUCUAAUUUAUUUUUUUCCAAUAUUCGUGAUUGAAUUGCUACAAUAAGUAAAUUAUUCCUUGUCAUUGUUUUUUAGCAAAGAAUGGGUCCGAAGCACACAACCCACAACCAUACACAAUUUCUUUAAGUCCUAGAAAAAUUAGAGAUAUUUUAAAUGACAAUAAAGAGUUCGAUCAUGCAUGAUUGUUUCAACAUGGCUGUAAGGAUGGCUGCAUCAAACGCAUCCUUGUUGUUGGAGAAACAAAUACCACUUCAUGGAUCUUCAGUUUGUUGUAAGUUCACCUAAGUCUUAAUUGUAUAAUUCAUAAAUAUCUACUAUAAUAUAUAUAAUUGUAUAAUUAAUAAAAAAAUUAUAAAUUUUACAAACUAGAAAGUCCAUAACUCAAUUUGGACGAGAUCUGUGAUGUUGUGACAAGCUAGACAACAAGAAACUCACAAAAGUACUUCAGUGCUGGCCUAAUAUGGAUUACAAAAUUAAAAGAUUGUAGCAAUGUAAGAUAUGUUCAGUGUAGUCCUGUAAGUGCAUUCGACCCCGAUGUAGGUUUUGAUAAUUAAUGACAACCAAAUUAGGGACUAACAUGUUUAUCGAGCAUAAUCUACAGGUGUUAGUCCAUUGAUGGAAUUGAACGAAAACAUUCGGUGAAUUAUAGCACCCCUAAAUUUCUAAUGGAUGAACGGUGUUUCGACUCAAGUGGCUACAAAGUUUUUAUUCUUUGUUUGAGUUAUAGGAAAUGCCGCACUAUCAAGAGGGAUGCAAAUCAAGUUGGUAAGAUGAGGAUAAGGGUGCUCAGGUCAAUUUACUUCUUGCGCUUGAGAGACACACUUGCACGCACGAAGCACUAGGAAAUUUCUUCUCUGUCAGGGUGUCCCGGUAGUACCAACCCUCAGGGCCGGUGGUACCGGCAGUGCCAGCCUUACUCCUGAGUUUUGCGAGAAAAUGAACUACCGGUAGUACCGGGCUCGGGCCGGUGGUACCGGCCAGCACCAGUAGUACCGGUGUGAAACGCCGGUAGUACCGGCAGGCCAAAUCUGCGCUGACUUUGGUUGCGAAGAUUUGAACUGCCGGUGGUACCGGCCUUCCACCGGUGGUACCGGCAAUGGUCGGUAGUACCGACAAAAGCCCAGUGGUACCGGUAGGCUUAUUUCUCGCAAAUCAUAGAGACUUCUUACCGUUAGAUCUGAGGUAGCCGGUGGUACCGGUGGUUGCCCCGGUAGUACCGGGAGUUGUUCAGGACCUUUGUAUAAAUAGCUCUUCCCUCAUUUCUAACCGUUAGCUCUCCCAUUCCUUCAACUCUAGAUCUGAGAAAUCAGUCUCCAAGCUUUGUCUCACCCACUCUCUCUCCCUCUUUGCUCCUAGACUUCACUCCUUGAAAGAUUCGAGCUAGAGAAGUGAGAUUAGAGAGUUGGGAGCUUCGAUUUGUGACUUGAGCACUUGGAUUCUUCGUCUUGCCGGUUUGGUUUGCAUUUGUUACUCUUGGAUUCUUGGAACCCUAGCCGGCUAGGCGUUCUUCGUGGUUGCCCGUGUUGAUUCAUUUGUGAGGGCACCCCGAAGUGUUUGUAUAACCCUUUGAUUCUUAGUGGAAAUCUUGAGCUAACCUGUGUGGUUGCUUGAGGGAGGAGACCUAAGUGGUCGGACCUUCGUGGUCACCUCAACAACGGGGACGUAGGAACUCCUUUGUGGGGAUUGCCGAACCUCGGGAAAAAUAUCUUGUCUUGCUGUGGAGGUAGCAUCGACUACCCUUGUUCUUGUGUUCUUCGUGUUCUUCCUCUCUACUCCCUUUCACAGGUGAACAAGGGCCGAUCUACGUUUUGGAGAAGAACCGAGCCAAGGGAACCUCAGCAUCACCCUCUACUACAUCUAGGAGAGUGGGGUAACUCUCAGAUCUGAAAUCAAAACUCAAUAUACUCUGAUUUCGUAGCUCUCUUAGGGCGUCGGUAGUACCAGCAGUUACGUCGGUAGUACUGGCUGUCUUACACCAGUAGUACCGGCCCAAACUGUCGGUAGUACCGACAGGCAUUUAACUUCCGCAACUUGAGUUUUUAAGUUUCAGGUUUUUAAGAUACGCCUAUUCACCCCCCCUCUAGGCCAAUCAGAUCCUUUCAAUUGGUAUCAGAGCAAGGUUCCUCGUACAAACGCUUCACCGCGUGAGGAGCAACAUUGGCCAAGAUAGAUCCAAUAGCACAAAAGCAAAUUGUUGAUCAAAUCACAGCACAGAUCACUGCAUCCUUGCAGCUGCAGCAACAAGAGCAAAUGCAGAAGAUGCAAGCAGAGCUUGACAAGAUGAGAGAGCUCCUAGGCAAAAAGAAUCAUGAAUCGGGUAGAAAAGAUGAAAAUGAAGAUAGCAGCAAACCAUCAAAGAACUACAACAAAGCUAGCUUUGACUAUGAUGGUUCAAGCAAGAAUCCAACCUUGCCGAUGAUCAAUCCUGGAAAACCACCUCCAUUUGAUGGUGUAAGGUACACCGAUUGGGCUCAUAGGAUGAAGCUACAUCUCAUAGCCGCAAGAUGUUGGGAAGUGGUGGACAUUGGAGUAAAUCCGCCGCAAGAUCCAAAUGAGUGGACACUUGAAGAUGAGAGAGACUUUCACCUAAAUGCAAUGGCAGCAACCUUGAUCUUGCAAUGCCUCACUCCGGAGGACAACAACAAAGUAAAUGGUAUGGUGAAUGCAAAGCAAAUCUGGGACACUUUGAAGGUGUCAUUUGAAGGAGAUAAAAGUGUAAGAGUUGGAAACAUUGAACUCUUACAAAGUAAGAUUGAGAAUUUUUGCAUGAUUGAGGGAGAAACAACAAAGGCCAUGUUUGAUAGAUUCAUGUCCUUGAUCAACCAAAUUAGAGCACUUGGAGCAACAACAUGGGAUGACAACUCUGUAGCAAGAAAGAUAUGUAGGGUGUAUAGACAAAAGAACAAUAUGCUUGCCUCCGUCAUUAUGGAGAAAGACAAUUACCACACGAUCACACCUCAAGAGAUGCUUGCAAAGUUGAUGCAUCAUGAAGUCUUGGAUGAUGAAGCUAAGGAAGCAAUGAAUCAAAGAAACAACAUUGCACUCACAGCAUCACAUGGAAGUGAUUCAAGUCAUUGUAACAAAGGGUGUUGUGAGCAUAAGCAUAAUGAUGAUGAUGAUCUUGAUAAAGAGCAAGGUAUGCUAGUGGAAAACUACAAGAAUUACUUGAGAAUGAAGAAAGAUAAUAUGAGGAGAUAUGGAGGAAACAAGUCAUACAAGAAGAGGUUUUGCUAUGAGUGUGGUGACACCGGCCAUCUUGCAGCUGAGUGUCCUAACAAAGAGGAGAAGUCAAGAUACACCAAGCAAGGUGAUAAGAAGUAUAAGGACAAGAAGAGAGGUGAAGCACAUCUAGGCCAAGAAUGGCAAUCCGACAGUGAUAGUGAUGAUGACAAUAACAAUAAGAAGAAGAGUAUGGCUACUCUCGCCAUACAAGAGGCAUCUUCCUCAGCAAACAUCUUCACCAACAAUGCUUCAUCGACCUCUCUCUUUACUCGCACUUCUUCAUCACCUAGACUCUUCGCCAACCUCUCCGACGACGACCAUGACACUCCUACAUGCCUUAUGGUAAGAGGAUAUAAGGUACAAUUUGACUCUCCUAUUCACACCACUAGUGAAUAUGAUAGUGAUGACGAAGAUGAUGAAAACUAUGCAUCAAAUCUCAUUAAGAAAUAUGGUAAAGCUGCUGCAACUAAAAUCCUAAAGCUCAUAUAUGCUAAAGAUAAGCUUGAGUCAUGCAUUGAGUCGCAAGGGGAAUUGCUCCUAGAGGAAAGGGAGAAGAACCAAGGACUUGAAGCAUGUCUCUCCAAGGAAAAGGAGAGGGCUGAUAAGUUGAGUGUAGAAUUGUCUUUAGCCAAAAAUGCUAAUGAGCAUUUGUCUAAGGGACAUUCUUCACUUAAUGACUCUUUGGCUAGCCUAAAGAAUGAUCAUAGUUUGGCUCAAGAGAGCCUUACAAGCUUGACAACUAAAUAUCAUGAGCUUGAACUAAACUAUGACAAGCUUUGGACUAGCACCUCUACCAUUUCCAAGGAUUCCAAAGCUUCAACAAGUAAAAGCUGUGAAAGAUGCUUAAAUGUUGAUAUAAAUGCUUGUGUUACUAACCUUGUUGAGCUAGCAAAGAAGGACAAGGAGAUCCAAAGAUUAAACACAAUUGUCAAGAUUGGUUGCAAGUGCAAGGACAAGCAACCGGCAAAUGGGUUCAAGGCAUCAAGACACCCCAUAAUCAAGGAUGGCCUCGGUUACAAUAGGUAUAAUGGUAAGGCCAAUGGAAGAAACAUGAUAAAUGGGGUGGCUUGUGUGAAGUUCAACAAGAGUGUGCCUCUUGUUGACCUUAUUGACAAGGUGAACAAUAUUGCUACUCCUAUAAUUCCACUUACAAACAACAAGAACAUCAAGAAGAAGCAAGUGCAGGUGCCCAAGCAACAAGUGCCUAUUUCACGCAAUCACAUUUGUGAUUACAUGUGUUGUUGGGACAAGGAUGGCAAGAUUGUUGUGAAGUAUGUGGGUGUCCUUAAGAAGAGACAAAUCUUAAGGAGUGUUUGGGUGCCCAAGUCUUAUAUUUCUAACCCCCUAGGUCCCAUCUCGGGACCUAAAACAAUAGCUUAAUCUCGUGUUGUAGGAAUACUCCUCCGGUGGACCAAAAUGGGUGCUUGAUAAUGGAUGCACCAAUCAUAUGACCGGAGAGAAGAAAUUGUUCACCUCCUUUCAACCAAAUCAAGUUGCAUGUGAAAGGAUUGUCUUUGGUGAUAAUAGUAAAGGAGAUAUCCUUGGUUUGGGUAAAAUUGCUUUCUUAAAUGAUAAUUCAAUUUCAAGUGUAUUACUUGUGAAUUCGUUGGGAUACAAUUUGUUGUCUAUCUCACAACUUUGUGAGAAGGGUUACAAUUGUCUCUUUACGGAUAAGGGUGUAGAAGUCUCUAGAAGGUCGGAUGCCUCUAUUGCUUUUACGGGUCAACUUAAGGGCAAGCUCUAUCUAGUUGAUUUCUCAUCUAGUAGAGUGGGGUCCAAGACUUGUUUAGUGGCAAAAUCUAGCAUGGGCUGGUUAUGGCAUCGCUGUCUAGCUCAUGUUGGGAUGAGGAACUUGGCCGAUCUUCAAAGAGGUGGAUACAUCCUAGGACUAACAAAUGUUUCUUUUGAGAAAGAUAGAAUUUGCAGUGCAUGUCAAGCGGGAAAGCAAGUUAGAGACAAGCAUCCCACUAAGAACAUCAUGACUACAUCAAAGACCACUUGAGUUACUUCACAUGGACUUAUUCGGACCCAAUGCUCAUAUAAGUAUUGGAGGUAACAAAUAUGGUUUUGUAAUUGUUGAUGAUUUUUCUCGCUUCACUUGGGUGUUUCUUUUGAGAGAUAAAGGUGAAACCCAAGGGAUCUUCAAGAAGGUUUCAAGAAGAGCUCAAAAUAAGUUUGAAGUGAAGAUCAAGAAAGUGAGAAGUGAUAACGGGAUAGAGUUUAGAAACACCAACAUUGAAGCUUUCCUUGAUGAAGAAGGCAUCAAACAUGAGUUCUCGGUUCCAUACACUCCACAACAAAAUGGUGUUGUGGAGAGGAAGAACCGGACGCUCAUUGAAGCCAUAAUAGCAAUGUUGGAUGAAUACAAGAUUUCACAAAAAGACUAUUGGGCGAAAGCCAUCAACACGUCAUGUCAUGCUAUCAACCACUUGUAACUCCACAAGUUGAGGAAGAAAACCACCUACGAGCUUCUAACCGGUACAAAGCCUAAGGUGGACUACUUUAGAGUUUUUGGAUGCAAGUGUUUCAUACUCAAUAAGAAAUCCAAAAGCUCUAAGUUUUCACCAAAGGUUGAUGGAGGUUUCUUAAUUGGUUAUGGUACUAAUGAACAUGGCUACCGUGUCUUCAAUGAGACCACCGGUCAAAUUGAAAUAGCGGUAGACGUGACUUUUGAUGAAAGCGACGGCUCUCAAAAGGAGCAAGUCAAUGCUGAAAUUUUAGGUGAAGAAGAACCAUCUCAUCAAGUGAUCAAAAAGCUUGCUACCGGUGAAGUGAAACCCGUUGAAGAAUAAAAAGAUGAUGCACAUAUGCAAAUUCCUCAUGAUCCAAACUUGCAUCAUGGGUCAACCAAUGCCCAUGAUGAUACUUCCACUUCAAGAAGGGGUCAUGACUCAAGGGAACAAGCUAGUCAAGAUCCACCACAAGCUCAAGACCCAACCAAGGUGGUGAUCGAGACAGUCAAGAUCUUGAUUCUCCAAUCAACCAAGACUAUGAAGUUGAAGAUGAUGGUCUAAUUCAAACAAGAACAGCAGUGCCUCACCCAAGAGUUCAUCACUCCAUCCAAUGGGAUCAUCUCGUUGACAGCAUUUUGGGAGACACACAACGAGGGGUAACAACACACUCUCAUUUAGUUGGUUUUUGUGAAUAUUACUCUUUUGUCUCCUCGAUGUUGCCAAACAGGGUGAAGAAUGCUUUGAAGGACCCAGAUGGGGUGAUUGCCAUGCAAGAGGAGCUAAACAACUUCACUAAGAAUAAAGUCUAGUCCUUGGUGGAAAGACCCAAGCAAAAUGUGUUAGGUACCAAAUGGGUCUUCCGUAACAAAGAAGAUGAGUAUGGCAUGGUCACAAGGAACAAGGCAUGGUUGGUAGCCAAAGGUUUCACUCAAAUCAAAGGUUUAUAUUUUGGGGAGACCUAUGCACCUGCAGCUAGGCUUAAAUCUAUUCGCAUAUUACUUGCCUUUGCUGCUCUUCAUGAUUUCAAGUUGUUUCAAAUGGACGUGAAAAGUGCAUUCCUCAAUGGCCCCCUCUCCGAAACCGUGUAUGUGGAGCAACCGCCGGGUUUUGAAGAUCCACAUCAUCCCGAUCAUGUCUACAAGCUUUACAAGGCACUUUAUGGGCUCAAACAAGCCCCUAGAGCUUGGUAUGGUUGUAUCAAAGAUUUCCUACUCAAACAAGGGUUGAGAUUGGAAAGGCCGAUCUCACUUUAUUUACUCGCAAAGUCAAUAAUGAUAUUUUUAUAUGCCAAAUAUAUGUCGAUGAUAUUAUAUUUGGUAGUACUAAUGCGGACUUUAGUGAGCAAUUUAGUAGGAUCAUGACCAAGAGGUUCGAGAUGUCCAUGAUGGGGGAGUUGACAUACAUUCUUGGAUUCCAAAUCAAGCAACUCAAAGACGGCAUGUUCAUAAGUCAAACCAAGUACACCACCGACAUGCUAAAGAAGUUUGACAUCGACAAGGCCAAACCCAUAAAGACACCAAUGCCAACAACCGGACAUCUUAACCUUGAUGGAGACGACAAGGCCAUUGAUCAAAAGGUAUAUCAUUCCAUGAUUGAAUCUUUGCUUUACCUUUGUGCAUCUAGGGCUGAUAUUAUGCUUAGUGUGUGCAUGUGUGUAUUCGAAUAGGCAAAAACUCUUGUGAAAAAUUGUGUGAAUUUUUCAAAAACUAUUUUUCACAGCUCAAAAUGUGUCCAUAGUUAUGUAAUGGCUUCAUGAAAACUGGACAAAUUUGAGUUGGUUUGAGUAUACUAUGUGGUUCACCUCCUUUAGAAUUUCUGCUCACUGGUUUUUGACCUCCUGCAACUUAUGACAUUCAAGCAUAACUGGAACACAGAGGUUAUUUGUCAGUUUUGGGCCACAGUUUACAUUGAUGUAGAGCACAAGAUACUUCACUAGAUGACUGAGGACCUUCACUGUCAGUAUGAUUACCGCCAGUUCUCCCACCUUUUUGGGUUUGAUCACCAUGUCUGUGAUGCUCCUAGCUUAUAUGGUCAUUGUCCAAAUGGUGUGGGCAGGGCUGAUUUCAUUGAAGCAGCCUGAUGAUGAUCCGACUAAGGCAAAUGGUAAGACAGAAGGUCUAAAGCCCUAUUUCUAUGUGCUCAACAAUUUGCUCCGUGCUACUAUUGACCCAAAGGUUGGUGUUGCUACUUCAGUUCAGAAUCAUGAUGCAACCAUCCUUGUUUGCUUUGGGCUUAAGAAGAGGUUCAGUGUGACAGAUCUCCUGUGGCAUCACAUUGAGGAGGGUUCCUAGACCUCCAACCAGUCCUUCCCCUAUGCUCUGUAUCUCAUGUAUAUCAUUGAGCAAGUCAUUGGCUUUGCAUUCUAGCAAGACAGUAAGCACCUAGACUGGAAUGUCAGAUGUAUUUAGGCUAAGUCCAAGCAAAGGGAAAGGGCUAGCAACAGAUGCUAGUGGCAACAAUGCAGCACAGGAUGAUGAGGUGUAGUGUGACACUGAGUUUGAGCAGCAGCAGGGUUUUCAGUGAACCAGUGCCUUUGAUGAUGAUGAUGAUAUUGUUGAGUAGUUCACCUACUGCCUUUGCCCCUUGGAGCUUCAUGAAGCCUACCCUUUUUGGCAUUUGAUGCCAAAGGGGGAGUGUUAGGCUUAUCUCAUAUGGUAUUAGGCUUGGUAUCAGGAUUAUCUCGUAUGGUGAACCAUGUGGUAAACUUAAACUUUGUGUGUGAUGGUUGAUUGUAAGCUAAACACCUUUGCUUCAUUAUUAUAUCAAGCUUGUGUUAGCUGUUUUGGGAUUGUGUUGAUGCAAUGUUGUUUAUGAAUGGUUAUGAUAAGCUUUAAGUCCUUCUAUUUCUUGCAUAACCAUUCAAGUUCUUUCUUUUUAUUCUUUGUGAUAUAUCUUGUCAUAUGCAUCACACUUUAUUAUCUCACACACACUUAGGCACCCCACGGAUUGCAAAAUUUAGGGGGAGCUUGUUCUUAAUGUAUGCCAUCUUGAUUCUAAUCAAGAUCUGAAAUUCUGAAUUCAAUGCAUACAUUAAGGGGGAGCUCAACUUGAAUUUUGGAAUUCAAAAGCUUCAAUUCUUUCAAUCUUUAUAAGCCUAAGUUGGUUGUCAUCAAUUACCAAAAAGGGGGAGUUUGUAAGUGCAUUCGCCCCCGAUGUGGGUUUUGAUAAUUAAUGACAACCAAAUUCGGGACUAACAUGUUUAUCGAGCAUAAUCUACAGGUGUUAGUCCAUUGAUGGAAUUGAACGAAAACAUUCGGUGAAUUAUAGCAGCCCUAAAUUUCUAAUGGAUGAACGGUGUUUCGACUCAAGUGGCUACAAAGUUUUUAUUCUUUGUUUGAGUUAUAGGAAAUGCCGCACUAUCAAGAGGGAUGCAAAUCAAGUUGGUAAGAUGAGGAUAAGGGUGCUCAGGUCAAUUUACUUCUUGCGCUUGAGAGACACACUUGCACGCACGAAGCACUAGGAAAUUUCUUCUCUGCUAGGGUGUCCCGGUAGUACCAACCCUCAGGGCCGGUGGUACCGGCAGUGCUAGCCUUACUCCUGAGUUUUGCGAGAAAAUGAACUACCGGUAGUACCGGACUCGGGCCGGUGGUACCGGCCAGCACCAGUAGUACCGGUGUGAAACGCCGGUAGUACCGGCAGGCCAAAUCUGCGCUGACUUUGGUUGCGGAGAUUUGAACUGCCGGUGGUACCGGCCUUCCACCGGUGGUACCGGCAAUGGUCGGUAGUACCGACAAAAGCCCAGUGGUACCGGUAGGCUUAUUUCUCGCAAAUCAUAGAGACUUCUUACCGUUAGAUCUGAGGUAGCCGGUGGUACCGGUGGUUGCCCCGGUAGUACCGGGAGUUGUUCAGGACCUUUGUAUAAAUAGCUCUUCCCUCAUUUCUAACCGUUAGCUCUCCCAUUCCUUCAACUCUAGAUCUGAGAAAUCAGUCUCCAAGCUUUGUCUCACCCACUCUCUCUCCCUCUUUGCUCCUAGACUUCACUCCUUGAAAGAUUCGAGCUAGAGAAGUGAGAUUAGAGAGUUGGGAGCUUCGAUUUGUGACUUGAGCACUUGGAUUCUUCGUCUUGCCGGUUUGGUUUGCAUUUGUUACUCUUGGGUUCUUGGAACCCUAGCCGGCUAGGCGUUCUUCGUGGUUGCCCGUGUUGAUUCAUUUGUGAGGGCACCCCGAAGUGUUUGUAUAACCCUUUGAUUCUUAGUGGAAAUCUUGAGCUAACCUGUGUGGUUGCUUGAGGGAGGAGACCUAAGUGGUCGGACCUUCGUGGUCACCUCAACAACGGGGACGUAGGAACUCCUUUGUGGGGAUUGCCGAACCUCGGGAAAAAUAUCUUGUCUUGCUGUGGAGGUAGCAUCGACUACCCUUGUUCUUGUGUUCUUCGUGUUCUUCCUCUCUACUCCCUUUCACAGGUGAACAAGGGCCGAUCUACGUUUUGGAGAAGAACCGAGCCAAGGGAACCUCAGCAUCACCCUCUACUACAUCUAGGAGAGUGGGGUAACUCUCAGAUCUGAAAUCAAAACUCAAUAUACUCUAAUUUCGUAGCUCUCUUAGGGCGUCUGUAGUACCAGCAGUUACGUCGGUAGUACUGGCUGUCUUACACCAGUAGUACCGGCCCAAACUGUCGGUAGUACCGACAGGCAUUUAACUUCCGCAACUUGAGUUUUUAAGUUUCAAGUUUUUAAGAUACGCCUAUUCACCCCCCCUAGGCCAAUUAGAUCCUUUCAAGUCCUUUAUAAACUCAUUAUGUUUUAUUUAUCACUUAUUGUUUGUAUGUAUAUUUUUAGAUUCUACUACCAUAUUACUGAGAUGGACUAUAUACUUUAUUCAUAAUGAACAUGCACAAAAAACUGUGCACGUUAUAGAUCCACUUCAAAAUGAAGUAUGUUUGAAGGGUUAUGAUCAGAGCAUGUCAUAUAUAUCUACAUUUCACACUGUUGCUCAAAGAUUCCAUCUCGCCAUGAAACUAACAAAUUCUAAGUGGAACGACAAUAUUUAUGACUGGAAGCGAGCAUUUCCUACAUGUGUUACAAAAGUUUCAAAAAAUAAAGACUGCUAAUCUCUUACAAUAUGUUUCAUCUUUAUUACCAGACAUUUAAUUUAUAUAUAAUAAAAAAACUAAUACUCUUCUCCAGGAGAUUGGGAGGCUUCCUUGUGUAUAAUUUUAUGAAGUCAUGGGAUGAUGUAAGAUUGCCACCGAUCAACAAUGUAAGUAUAUAUAUACUUCAACUAUAGUUCGUACAUUGUAUGUGUGGGGGUAUAAACCCCUAUACCCUCAUGGGCCUAUAUGGGCCGCACCAUCAGAGGUGGCUCGGCCCACAGGAUGAAGACGUGCGGCGCACGACUGGUCGGCGUGCACCGCAAGGCUACAAGAUAUUGUACCAAAUAGGAUACUUUGCUUGUAACUCUGUCCCUUCAGGAUAUAUAAGGAGGGGCAGAGGUCCCCUAGAGGACAAGUCAUACAGAUCAUAUUCUCUCAACACAAAUCAAUACAACCAGACGCAGGACGUAGGUAUUACGCCAACUCGGCGGCCGAACCUGGAUAAAAAGCUUGUCCGUGUCUUGCGUCACCAUCGAGUUCGUAGUUUGCGCACCGUCUACCGAUAAACUACUACCGUGGGUAUACCCCAAGGUAGACUGCCGACCAGCUUUCGUCGACAGUGGCGCGCCAGGUAGGGGGUGUGCGUACAGCUCUCCCGACGAACAAGAUGGUCAUCAUCCCAACUUCGUGGCCAUGGCGGGCGACUUCAUGUUCACCGUCAGCUUCAACAGCUUCACCGCCACGACCACGGAGGAGCUGUAGAUCCGAUCUGCGCCAACCACUUCUUCAUCGACGUCGGCGGCGGCUUCAACCACGCUGGCUACGACUCCGACUACUCCAGCAACGUCUCCGACCACGCCGACGAUGCGUCACCUGCUUCCCUACUACAAAGAGAGGCAGAUCGACGACAUCGACCUGCUCGGGCUAACGACCAAGUUGUUUGGCCUACUUGCUCUGACCACCAGUCGCAAUAAUAAUCGCCGCGAAGAACGGCGCUACGACAACCGCGACCACCGUCAUGACAGCAAGUCAAAAAGCUCGAGGGCCAGACAAUUCUGUCACCACCGACUAGACUUUCGUCCAAAGAUAAGUACACUUCUAAUAUUUUAUUUAUUUUUGGCAUAAUAUUUUUUAUUAUCCUUCAAAAAUAACUUUUUGGUUAGCCGACUAGUUUUUUCUCCUACACGAGUUUUCUAGAGCCGGUACUGUCUCCGACUCCUCCCUACACGUGCAUGAGAUCCGCCCUCUGCGUUCCGGGUGGUCGGCAGUAGCUCUCUGGCGAGGCUGGCAAUCCCACGCAUGUCUAGGUUCCGCACCUCAUGCUGAUUGUUGGCUAGACCAGAGCUGGUACAAGCUCUAGGAUGAAUUAACUACUCGUGCUAAUUUUAUAACAAAAAAUCUAAAACUUAUCGCAGUACUGAUUUUUUAUCUAGAGUUUAUUUAUACAUCAUGUACUACCUAUUCUCUAUAUUUAUUUUUCAGGAGUUUAGUCCAGUCGACAAGCUACGCUCGGGGACUCGUCGACUAUUCCUUACGCUGUGCCCGGGGACCGCUCCGACCACCGAGCACGUUUACGUUCCCAACCACGCUCGGGGACUUGUCGACUACUCUCUACACUGUGCUUGAAGACUGUGCCGACCACCGAGCACGUUUACGUUCCCAACCACGCUCGGGGACUUGUCUACCAGUCUCUACGCCGUGCUUGAAGACUGUGCCGACCACCGAGCACGUUUACGUUCCCAACCACGCUCGGGGACUUGUCUACCAGUCUCUACGCCGUGCUCGGAGACUGUGCCGACCACCGAGCACGUUUACGUUCCCAACUACGCUCGGGGACUGGCCGAUCAGUCUCUAUGUCGUGCUCGGGGACUGUGCUGACUACCGAUCGUGCUCGGAGACUCAUCAAUCACUCCCUGCGCUGUGCUCGGGGCUUGCUUUGAUCACUCUCCAACCACAGCUUGAGGACUGUUCUUCUCAGUUACAUAUGAAUUGGACUCAUAUACAACUGAAGGGUAAUUUUAUUUUUUAGACCUUGCUACAAGGCUCAUACUUCGCCUUCCAGCAAGCUCGAGGACUACAUCGGUACGAUGCAUCUGGCGAUGCAUCUCAGUUUCAUAAUUUAUAUGAAGACUUUUUUGACCCUGGCACCACGUGCCUACGUCACCUACUACCAGGCUCGGGGACUAAGUGGGCACACUUCACCUUGCGGUGAAUAUGCUUGCUUUUUUGAGAUCUAUACUUUUCAAAAAAGUAAAGUUGACACACUUCACCAGGAAAGAAAUCUUUUUAAAUUUAGAGCACCAUGCAUUCUUCGAACAACCUGUUUCUUCGAUGUCAAUGUUGAUCAACUGUCUUUUGAGUUGGUCAAAAUACUGUUGCAACUGUUUGGGCGACUUUCUUACUUAUUUGAAGACGUCAAGCCUCACUGAUCGAAGAAGCUCAAGACGGCGUGUUACAUCACAAUACAUGGUGCUCGGGGACUAGCUGUGGGGGUAUAAACCCCUAUACCCUCAUGGGCCUAUAUGGGCCGCACCAUCAGAGGUGGCUCGGCCCACAGGAUGAAGACGUGCGGCGCACGACUGGUCGGCGUGCACCGCAAGGCUACAAGAUAUUGUACCAAAUAGGAUACUUUGCUUGUAACUCUGUCCCUUCAGGAUAUAUAAGGAGGGGCAGAGGUCCCCUAGAGGACAAGUCAUACAGAUCAUAUUCUCUCAACACAAAUCAAUACAACCAGACGCAGGACGUAGGUAUUACGCCAACUCGGCGGCCGAACCUGGAUAAAAAGCUUGUCCGUGUCUUGCGUCACCAUCGAGUUCGUAGUUUGCGCACCGUCUACCGAUAAACUACUACCGUGGGUAUACCCUAAGGUAGACUGCCGACCAGCUUUCGUCGACAGUAUGAUUGGCACAGAUCGCUUACUAUUUGCCAUGCAUAAGCCUGGGCAUUCGGGUUACCCGAUUUUUUCGGGUCGGGUAAUUCGGGUAAUUCAAAAUUCGGGUAAUGAAAAUUGUUACCCGAUAUUAGUUUCGAAAAAACACUACCCGCAAUUUCGGGUACCCGCUAAUUCGGGUUCGGGUAUUCCCGAUUUACCCGAAUUUUCAAAAAACAACACACUAUACAAAAUUUUAAUAGCAAUUUAUAUAUAAUUUCAGCAGCAAUUUGUAUAGAAUUUCAAUAGCAUUUUGUAGAGAAUAAUAUGUUACUAUCACUUGUUCAAACAAAGAGAAUUAUGUUCUAAUAAAUUGAUAAGUUCUAAUAUUUAACUAUCAACACAUGAUAAAUACAAAGAUAUAGACAAAUAUUCGGAUAAUUCGGGUAGUUCGGGUACCGGGGGAUAUUACCCGAAUUACCCAAACUAAUUUCGGGUAAUCAAAAUCGCUAUCCGAAUUUAGGAUCGGGUACCUCGGGUUCGGGUAAUUCGGGUUCGGAUCCGGGUAAUUCGGGUACGGGUAAUGGGUAUCGGGUAAUUUGCCCAGGCCUAGCCAUGCACAGCUAUCAACUACACUGAGGGAUGCAAUUCUUGGCAGACAUUUUGAAGAGCCGUUUAAAUGAAUGUUUUGACAACUUCCCUAAAGAUCUCCAAGUCAUGAUUAAGGACUUAGACAAAAUGUAACUUAGAUGGUUAAGGACUUAUGCAAAAGUGUUUUCAGAUUGUAUGCUCAAAUAUAAUUAU
Molecule: long non-coding RNA, 14615 nt
Filed under: Sorghum bicolor (sorghum)
Lineage: Eukaryota; Viridiplantae; Streptophyta; Magnoliopsida; Poales; Poaceae
Description: long non-coding RNA (SBIC_LNC018296)
Source: RNAcentral